RNAcentral lists this ribosomal RNA (650 nucleotides) under uncultured bacterium. RNAcentral describes it as "bacterial SSU rRNA". It matches the Rfam family "Bacterial small subunit ribosomal RNA", at positions 54 to 701 of the family's 1533-position model. The record is from RNAcentral.
CAUGCAAGUCGAACGGUAACAGGAAGUGCUUGCACUUCGCUGACGAGUGGCGGACGGGUGAGUAAUGCUUGGGAACUUGCCUUUGCGAGGGGGAUAACAGUUGGAAACGACUGCUAAUACCGCAUAAUGUCUACGGACCAAACGGGGCUUCGGCUCCGGCGCAAAGAGAGGCCCAAGUGAGAUUAGCUAGUUGGUAAGGUAAAGGCUUACCAAGGCAACGAUCUCUAGCUGUUCUGAGAGGAAGAUCAGCCACACUGGAACUGAGACACGGUCCAGACUCCUACGGGAGGCAGCAGUGGGGAAUAUUGCACAAUGGGGGAAACCCUGAUGCAGCCAUGCCGCGUGUGUGAAGAAGGCCUUCGGGUUGUAAAGCACUUUCAGUUGUGAGGAAAAGUUAGUAGUUAAUACCUGCUAGCCGUGACGUUAACAACAGAAGAAGCACCGGCUAACUCCGUGCCAGCAGCCGCGGUAAUACGGAGGGUGCGAGCGUUAAUCGGAAUUACUGGGCGUAAAGCGUACGCAGGCGGUUUGUUAAGCGAGAUGUGAAAGCCCCGGGCUCAACCUGGGAACUGCAUUUCGAACUGGCAAACUAGAGUGUGAUAGAGGGUGGUAGAAUUUCAGGUGUAGCGGUGAAAUGCGUAGAGAUCUGA